GAUCCUGGCUCAGGAUGAACGCUGGCGGCACGCUUAACACAUGCAAGUCGAACGAUUAAAGCACCUUCGGGUGUGUAUAGAGUGGCGAACGGCUGAGUAACACGUGGGCAACCUGCCCUUCAGUUCGGAAUAGCUACGGGAAACCGUGGGUAAUACCGGAUGAUCCACCUCCCUCGCAUGAAGGAGGUGGCAAAGAUUUAUCGCUGAAGGAUGGGCCCGCGGCCUGUUAGCUUGUUGGUGAGGUAACGG
RNAcentral lists this ribosomal RNA (249 nucleotides) under uncultured bacterium. RNAcentral's name for it is "partial 16S ribosomal RNA". It matches the Rfam family "Bacterial small subunit ribosomal RNA", at positions 15 to 263 of the family's 1533-position model. The record is from RNAcentral.